RNAcentral lists this ribosomal RNA (1310 nucleotides) under Providencia rettgeri. RNAcentral describes it as "partial 23S ribosomal RNA". It matches the Rfam family "Bacterial large subunit ribosomal RNA", at positions 1639 to 2925 of the family's 2925-position model. The record is from RNAcentral. Lineage: Bacteria; Pseudomonadati; Pseudomonadota; Gammaproteobacteria; Enterobacterales; Morganellaceae.
UAAUCGUACCCCAAACCGACACAGGUGGUCAGGUAGAGAAUACUCAGGCGCUUGAGAGAACUCGGGUGAAGGAACUAGGCAAAAUGGUGCCGUAACUUCGGGAGAAGGCACGCUGGCGUUAGGUGAAGUGGUUUACCCAUGGAGCUGAAGCCAGUCGCAGAUACCAGCUGGCUGCAACUGUUUAUUAAAAACACAGCACUGUGCAAACACGAAAGUGGACGUAUACGGUGUGACGCCUGCCCGGUGCUGGAAGGUUAAUUGAUGGGGUUAUCCGUAAGGAGAAGCUCUUGAUCGAAGCCCCAGUAAACGGCGGCCGUAACUAUAACGGUCCUAAGGUAGCGAAAUUCCUUGUCGGGUAAGUUCCGACCUGCACGAAUGGCGUAAUGAUGGCCAGGCUGUCUCCACCCGAGACUCAGUGAAAUUGAACUCGCUGUGAAGAUGCAGUGUACCCGCGGCAAGACGGAAAGACCCCGUGAACCUUUACUAUAGCUUGACACUGAACAUUGAGCCUUGAUGUGUAGGAUAGGUGGGAGGCUUUGAAGUGUGGACGCCAGUCUGCAUGGAGCCAACCUUGAAAUACCACCCUUUAAUGUUUGAUGUUCUAACGUUGCCCCGUUAUCCGGGGUGCGGACAGUGUCUGGUGGGUAGUUUGACUGGGGCGGUCUCCUCCCAAAGAGUAACGGAGGAGCACGAAGGUUGGCUAAGCAUGGUCGGACAUCAUGCGGUUAGUGCAAAGGCAUAAGCCAGCUUGACUGCGAGAGUGACGGCUCGAGCAGGUACGAAAGUAGGUCUUAGUGAUCCGGUGGUUCUGAAUGGAAGGGCCAUCGCUCAACGGAUAAAAGGUACUCCGGGGAUAACAGGCUGAUACCGCCCAAGAGUUCAUAUCGACGGCGGUGUUUGGCACCUCGAUGUCGGCUCAUCACAUCCUGGGGCUGAAGUAGGUCCCAAGGGUACGGCUGUUCGCCGUUUAAAGUGGUACGCGAGCUGGGUUUAGAACGUCGUGAGACAGUUCGGUCCCUAUCUGCCGUGGGCGUUGGAAGAUUGAAAGGGGCUGCUCCUAGUACGAGAGGACCGGAGUGGACGCACCACUGGUGUUCGGGUUGUCAUGCCAAUGGCAUUGCCCGGUAGCUAAGUGCGGAAGAGAUAACCGCUGAAAGCAUCUAAGCGGGAAACUUGCCUUGAGAUGAGUCUUCCCUGACCCUUUAAGGGUCCUAAAGGAACGUUUAAGACUAAGACGUUGAUAGGUUGGGUGUGUAAGCAUAGCGAUAUGUUGAGCUAACCAAUACUAAUGAACCGUGAGGCUUAACCUG